Molecule: ribosomal RNA, 424 nt
Filed under: uncultured prokaryote
Description: bacterial SSU rRNA
Rfam family: Bacterial small subunit ribosomal RNA
Source: RNAcentral
UGGGGAAUAUUGGACAAUGGGGGCAACCCUGAUCCAGCCAUGCCGCGUGCGUGAAGAAGGCCUUAGGGUUGUAAAGCGCUUUCAGCGGGGACGAUGAUGACGGUACCCGCAGAAGAAGCCCCGGCUAACUCCGUGCCAGCAGCCGCGGUAAUACGGAGGGGGCAAGCGUUGUUCGGAAUUACUGGGCGUAAAGGGCGCGUAGGCGGCACAUCAAGUCAGAGGUGAAAGCCCCGGGCUCAACCUGGGAAUUGCCUUUGAAACUGAUGAGCUAGAGUCCGGAAGAGGAUAGCGGAAUUCCCAGUGUAGAGGUGAAAUUCGUAGAUAUUGGGUGGAACACCAGUGGCGAAAGCGGCUCUCUGGUCCGGAUCUGACGCUGAGGCGCGAAAGCGUGGGGAGCAAACAGGAUUAGAUACCCCCGUAGUCC